RNAcentral lists this ribosomal RNA (744 nucleotides) under uncultured bacterium. Its description in RNAcentral is "bacterial SSU rRNA". It matches the Rfam family "Bacterial small subunit ribosomal RNA", at positions 8 to 796 of the family's 1533-position model. The record is from RNAcentral.
AGAGUUUGAUCAUGGCUCAGAGCGAACGCUGGCGGCAGGCUUAACACAUGCAAGUCGAGCGGGCGUAGCAAUACGUCAGCGGCAGACGGGUGAGUAACGCGUGGGAACGUACCUUUUGGUUCGGAACAACACAGGGAAACUUGUGCUAAUACCGGAUAAGCCCUUACGGGGAAAGAUUUAUCGCCGAAAGAUCGGCCCGCGUCUGAUUAGCUAGUUGGUGAGGUAACGGCUCACCAAGGCGACGAUCAGUAGCUGGUCUGAGAGGAUGAUCAGCCACAUUGGGACUGAGACACGGCCCAAACUCCUACGGGAGGCAGCAGUGGGGAAUAUUGGACAAUGGGCGCAAGCCUGAUCCAGCCAUGCCGCGUGAGUGAUGAAGGCCCUAGGGUUGUAAAGCUCUUUUGUGCGGGAGGAUAAUGACGGUACCGCAAGAAUAAGCCCCGGCUAACUUCGUGCCAGCAGCCGCGGUAAUACGAAGGGGGCUAGCGUUGCUCGGAAUCACUGGGCGUAAAGGGUGCGUAGGCGGGUCUUUAAGUCAGGGGUGAAAUCCUGGAGCUCAACUCCAGAACUGCCUUUGAUACUGAGGAUCUUGAGUUCGGGAGAGGUGAGUGGAACUGCGAGUGUAGAGGUGAAAUUCGUAGAUAUUCGCAAGAACACCAGUGGCGAAGGCGGCUCACUGGCCCGAUACUGACGCUGAGGCACGAAAGCGUGGGGAGCAAACAGGAUUAGAUACCCUAGUAGUCC